UGGGGAAUUUUGGACAAUGGGCGAAAGCCUGAUCCAGCAAUGCCGCGUGCAGGAUGAAGGCCUUCGGGUUGUAAACUGCUUUUGUACGGAACGAAAAAGCUCCUUCUAAUACAGGGGGCCCAUGACGGUACCGUAAGAAUAAGCACCGGCUAACUACGUGCCAGCAGCCGCGGUAAUACGUAGGGUGCGAGCGUUAAUCGGAAUUACUGGGCGUAAAGCGUGCGCAGGCGGUUAUGUAAUACAGAUGUAGCAAAUGCCCCAGGGCCUGCAACCUGGGAAUCUGCAUUUGUGACUGCGAUGGCUAGA
Molecule: ribosomal RNA, 306 nt
Filed under: uncultured Delftia sp.
Lineage: Bacteria; Pseudomonadati; Pseudomonadota; Betaproteobacteria; Burkholderiales; Comamonadaceae
Description: bacterial SSU rRNA
Rfam family: Bacterial small subunit ribosomal RNA
Source: RNAcentral